Molecule: transfer RNA, 74 nt
Filed under: Microbacterium phage Pioneer3
Lineage: Duplodnaviria; Heunggongvirae; Uroviricota; Caudoviricetes
Also listed under: 1 other name
Description: tRNA-Thr
Rfam family: tRNA
About the family: Transfer RNA (tRNA) molecules are approximately 80 nucleotides in length. Their secondary structure includes four short double-helical elements and three loops (D, anti-codon, and T loops). Further hydrogen bonds mediate the characteristic L-shaped molecular structure. tRNAs have two regions of fundamental functional importance: the anti-codon, which is responsible for specific mRNA codon recognition, and the 3' end, to which the tRNAs corresponding amino acid is attached (by aminoacyl-tRNA synthetases). tRNAs cope with the degeneracy of the genetic code in two manners: having more than one tRNA (with a specific anti-codon) for a particular amino acid; and 'wobble' base-pairing, i.e. permitting non-standard base-pairing at the 3rd anti-codon position.
Source: RNAcentral
GCCGCCCUAGCUCAUCUGGUAGAGCAGCUGUCUAGUAAACAGCAGGUGGGGAGUUCGAGUCUCCCGGGCGGCUC